UGCCGUCAGAUCCGACCGGGCAGGAUGGCACCUUCAAACAUUGUGGUGUGUGUCCAAUCGGUGGGUCGAGAU
This is a small nucleolar RNA of 72 nucleotides. It matches the Rfam family "Trypanosomatid snoRNA TB10Cs3H2".